GUUGAUAUGAUUGAUGUGGUGGUCCUGCAUGAGAGGGCUGUGAAUGCUGUGAUGGAGAUACCUGAUAUUGUAGAUUUGGAGGAUCUUGUGUUUGACUAGGCGGUGAAUAGUAAGGAUCUCUCUGAGGGACAGAGGGAAUCUGACUCUGAACUGGCUUGGAAGUGGAGCAGGAGGUGACAAAUUUUGUUGGAAAAUAGGUGGUGGAGGGACAGCAGGAGGAG
RNAcentral lists this unclassified non-coding RNA (221 nucleotides) under Hevea brasiliensis (rubber tree). The record is from RNAcentral. Lineage: Eukaryota; Viridiplantae; Streptophyta; Magnoliopsida; Malpighiales; Euphorbiaceae.